GAUGAAGAACGUAGCGAAAUGCGAUACUUGGUGUGAAUUGCAGAAUCCCGUGAACCAUCGAGUCUUUGAACGCAAGUUGCGCCCGAAGCCAUUAGGCCGAGGGCACGCCUGCCUGGGCGUCGCACGUCGUUGCCCCCCCAUCUACUCCUUCGGGAUUGCGGGGGGCGGAUGAUGGCCUCCCGUGCGCCUCGCCGCGCGGUUGGCAUAAAUGCCAAGUCCUCGGCGACGCACGCCACGACAAUCGGUGGUUGCGAAACCUCGGUUGCCCGUCGUGUGCGGUCGUCGCGCAUCGAGGGCUCGAAAAAAUUGCCGGGUUCCGGCUCGGCUUUCAACGCGACCCCAGGUCAGGCGGGGUUACCCGCUGAAUUUAAGCAUAUCAAUAAGCGGAGG
Molecule: unclassified non-coding RNA, 390 nt
Filed under: soil metagenome
Description: partial contains 5.8S ribosomal RNA, internal transcribed spacer 2, and large subunit ribosomal RNA
Rfam family: 5.8S ribosomal RNA (bases 1-122)
Source: RNAcentral